Nannospalax galili (Upper Galilee mountains blind mole rat) is the source of this 1184-nucleotide long non-coding RNA. RefSeq lists it as uncharacterized. NCBI's taxonomy places the organism in Eukaryota, Metazoa, Chordata, Mammalia, Rodentia, Spalacidae. The record is from RefSeq and is a predicted model, not a curated record. The transcript is spliced from 3 exons.
ACAAAAAACAGAGCAGGAUGCUUAUGACUUAAGUUAGUAGCAAGACAAAUCACGUAAUAGGCAACUGCAGGAAGAGGAAGACUGGAAUGCUAGAGCUUCUCUGGGCACAGCACCCAAACACUGCAGGAGCAAGAUCACGAUUUUAUUGAGCACUUACUAAAGGCCAAGCACUCUGGCACCGCCAUGACAUUCCAGGGGGAUCACUCUUUAAGAGAUGUGGCUGUAGUUUGUUGUUGGGUAGUUCAUCUGAAAGGUCAUGGAGAGUCUGAAUUCCAACCACUAUUGUCUGCUUGAAGAAGCAAAGAAAAAUGAGUCUUCAACUUGGAAGAAAUGGAGAAAAGAGGCAAAGGAAGCAGAGAGGAAGAAGAGACAAGGGGAAAUGCUCUCAGAAGAGAUGGGUAAGGACGUGGGGGAUACAACAGAGAAGAAAAAGAAACCAAGAAGGCUGUGAACUCAGCAGGUGCCCAGAAGAGUGUUUUCACUGGUGUUAUCUGCAGCCUCACAGUUGUGGCCCAAAGCAAGGGAGCUAAACUUCGGUCUCCCAAAGUGAUCACUCAUAGCUAAGUAUCACCCUUAAAAGUCAUAAACUCUCAGACUCUUCUGGUUCUCGGUGUCUGUGGGCACUGCUGCUCCAGUAGCCUGGGGACAGUCCUUUGAUGAACGGCAGGUCAGGAGCUGUUGGAAGAAAAAUGACAUGAAUGGUGGAAGGGGGUGUAUAGAAGCAAAAGGAGUCUAGGGAGCUGAGUGAGAGGCAGCAGUGUUCUCUCUCAGGAAAUAUGGAAGAGUGACAUGAGCCAGGUGGCAGAACAGGAUACUAUAGCUCUUGCCCCUCAUAGAAACAGCACUUUGAGUUACUGGGUAUGAUUUGAUUUAGAUCUGUGCUUUAGCAAGCAGACAACUAAAGAAAGGAACAAAAGUACUAAUUAAAUAUUUAUUUCCUUAAUCAUUCAUCCUUAAGAACCAGUAAAUAUUUAUUUAGCAAUUAAAAACAUAUUCACAUACAAAAAAUACCUUCAAAGAGCCAGGAGACUUGGGUGAGGAAUUAUAGCACUAGGACACAGCAUAUAAGUAAAAUGCACUGAAAGGUCGGGUGUGGUGGCACAUGCCUUCAGUCCCAGCACUUAGGAAGCAGAGGCAGGCAGAUCUCUGUGAGUUCAAGGCCAGCUUGGCCUACAAAGUGAGUU